AGAUAGUUAAUGGUUAAUUUGCAAUUAACUGAUAUGAUUAAAAUCAUACUGUUAU
This 55-nucleotide transfer RNA is filed under the name Carrhotus xanthogramma. Its description in RNAcentral is "tRNA-Ala". The record is from RNAcentral. Lineage: Eukaryota; Metazoa; Arthropoda; Arachnida; Araneae; Salticidae.